Molecule: long non-coding RNA, 559 nt
Organism: Pantherophis guttatus
Lineage: Eukaryota; Metazoa; Chordata; Lepidosauria; Squamata; Colubridae
Source: RefSeq, a predicted model, not a curated record
AGAAAGGACAACCUUUUGGCUCUUCUUGAUAAAAGUGAUGAUGACAUCUCUUUGCAGAUAUCCACUGUGGUAGCCAGCUACAAAAUCCCACAGAUCACUUUUAAAAGUGUUUCAGACACUCUGAAUGAUAACAGUCAAUUCCCCUUUUUCCACCGCAUGGUUCCCAAAGAAGGAAUCCAGUACCAAGCAAUUAUCCAACUGCUCCUCCAUUUCAAAUGGACCUUGGUUGGUGUCUUUACUACAGACACAGAGGAGGGAGAGGUUUUCAUGAGGACUUUGACCCCUACGCUUGUCAAGAAUGGUAUUUGUGUUGUUGUGUCACGUAAGUUCUCAAUGAUUGCAAGUAGAAUGUUGCUAUUCAUUGAUGGCCUCUCUAAGUGGAGACAAGCCAAUGUCUUUGUUUACUUUGUAGAAAAGGGUUGGCUCGAACAAGGAAUGAUGGUUGUACAUGACACACUACAAUGCCUGCCAGAACCCAUUGAAGGAAAAGUCUGGAUCACCACAGCCUUAUGGGAACUUACAUUUGCAUGGCAACACAUUAAAGAAUAUUUGCAGUACA